This 4694-nucleotide long non-coding RNA is filed under the name Callithrix jacchus (white-tufted-ear marmoset). Its description in RNAcentral is "lncRNA (ENSCJAG00000083729.1)". The record is from RNAcentral. Lineage: Eukaryota; Metazoa; Chordata; Mammalia; Primates; Cebidae.
GGUAGAAUUGGCAGGCUAAUUGCUCAGAACUAGAAUAUUGAUCCAGAUUUUUACAUUAUCCAUCCCCUUUUGUUUUGUCUUAGCCACAUCCGGAGAUUGCUGCUUGGUUCAUAGGAAUAAGCAAGGUUAGUCUAAAAUGUAGACAAAAGUUAACUAAUGAUGAUAAGUUAUAAAACCUAAUUUCUCUCUAGUCCUCAUUUCUGUUAAAAACAAAUCAUGAUAGAGCUGCGUUCUUUGCAAAAUAGACUUUAGUCUUAUACUUGUCCUGAUUGUUUGCUUAAAGUGCGGCAAGAAUAAUAAUUUCUACACAGGCAUUUUAGAUUGGCUUUGAUGGAACUCUGUUCUACAAGGAAUCAGUGGGGGAUCCAUCAGAUGGCAGGAAAAACUAUAGAGAAAGGAUGCAAACCUUCUGAAAGGUCAGAGGGUUUUGCAGAGUCCCGGGGAAGGAACAGGUGAAGGUAGCUGUUCUAUAACCCUGAGGCAGAGGGAAAGGAGAAACAGGGAGUGUAGGGGAAUUUAUCUUAAACAGGCUUGAUUACUUAUGUUGACCUGGAACUGACCUUUGAUUACCCAGGCACCACGUUCCCAGGAAUGGGAACGAUAAAUGUUAAUUACCUACAGGUUGUAUUGGCUCCAGGUUUUCGGCAUUGUGCCUGCCCUGAAUAAAAGCAAGCAGCUCCAGCCUCUCGGGGGCCAGUCUCUUGCUGCUAGUGCUAGGCAGUUGCCUGGCUGCUCUUACACUGCGUAUCUGUGUCCCAGUAUCCAUUUCAUCCUUCGGUCACGGUCUGUGAAACAGACCCAGCAAAUCUCAGCGUCCAUUUUACCUGGAGAUGGAUGUCAAGAUGUAAAUUGACUGGUAAGUGACACUGCAUUUCUUAAUAAUUAUAUAAUUUUUAAAAUAGAGAUUCUGUGUUUAUUCUGACACCCUGGUACAUAAAGCUGGAAACUAAGAACUGUGACUUACGGAGAUUGGAAUAUUUUAUUGUUUUCCUACAAAUAAAGCACUGGGAUAAAUAUUUUAUCUUUAUUUGUGCUCACUGAACAAUAAGUGUAAACAGUUCAAUUUGCAAAGUGGAAAAAUAAUUAAAUUGUUCGAAUAAUAAUCAAUGUUUGUGUCAGUCAUAAACUAACUCUGAAAGGAAAGAAAAGGUUUAUAUGUGUAAAAGAAAAAAGGAAAGAUAGGGAAACCAACCUAAAAGGAACUGCUGGCAAGUAAGUUCUAUCAUCAGUGUGAUUUGCUUAUUGUUUAUGUUCUUUAAACUUCUUAUUACUUCAUGAAAAAAAGGAGCAUACCCCUGAUAUUAUUUCUUCUUGUAUGGGGUUUCUACCUUAUUCCACAGACAUGUGGAAAUAAAUCAUUUAUUUUGUUCUAGAAUUUGAAUGGAUGACAUUUUUUAGUUUUCUACAUUCAGCAAAGUGUGAGGCUUGCCAAGUUUGCAGCGUGCACAUUUGAAAAUUACACAUAUUAAUUAUGGGUUUUUUGGUUAUAUUUCAAAUUCAGUUAAUAAUGGUCAAGGUUACUAGAACCUGUUUUAUCCGAGAGUUAAUUUUUAAAUAUGUUUUUGAGAGUUAAUUUAAUAAUUUUAAUGGCAGAUGGUAUUUUGUUAUUCAUGUAUCUUCAAGUUGCAAUAACCAUAAUUGCAAAGUGAUGGGUUUUAACAUAAACCUAGGGAAAUCUAGAUUAUUUCCUGAUUUAAUAAUUUAUAUAUUCUCUGGAGGCUCCAAUCGCUCUGUAUAACUUAGCUAAGUACCAAUACAACCGAAAGGAUUGUAUUCUUUACUUAAUGAAUAACAUCUGGUAGGUUGUUCAAGAGGUAUUGUAAAUGCUUGUACCUCCUCAUUAAAUAAUAAAAUACUUAACUGAAUAUCACAUAAUAUCUUGGAAAUGUCAUUGAAAAUAAAGUUAUAUAACAUUUUAAAAAUUAUGAUUCAGAAAAUGUAAUAUAUGUAUAUAUAUAUAUUAUUGCACUUUAGGUGCUUGAGUACAAACGUGCACAUGCGGGACUGUUGCAUAGAUACAUACAUGGCAAUGUGAUUUGCUGCCUUCAUCUGCCUUCACCUAUAUCUGGCAUUUCUCCCCAUGUUAUCCCUCCCCAACCUCCCCACCCUCACUGUCCCACACCUAGCACCCCACUAACAGAUCCCAGUGUGUGAUGCUCCUCUCCCUGAGUCCACGUGUUCUCAUUGUUGAGCACCAGCCUAUGAGUGAGAACAUGUGGUGGUUGGUUUUCUAUUCUUAUAUCAGUUUGCUGACAAUGAUGGUUUCCAGAUUCAUUCAUGUUCCAACAAAGGACAUGAAUUCAUUUUGUAUGGCUGCAUAGUAUUCCAUGGUGUAGUGCUGCAUUUUCCUUGUCUAGUCUAUUAUUGAUGGGCAUUUGGCUUGGUUCCAGGUCUUUGCUACUGUAAACAGUGCUGCAGUGAACAUACCUGUGCAUGUGUCUUUAUAAGAGAAUGAUUUAUAAUCCUUUGGGUAUAUACCCAGUAACAAGAUUGCUGGGUCAAAUGGAAUUUCUGUUUCUAGAUUCUUUAAUAUAUAUACGUGUGUGUGUGUGUGUGUGUGUGUGUGUUCAUGAAUAUAUUAUUAAUUUAGGCAGAUACUUUAGCUACAUAUAUUCUAUUAUCUCCUUUGAAAAUAGCAGAGACAAUAUUAUCUGAUGAUUUGAAAUAAAAUAUGUAACAUUUAUUAUGUAUUGCCUUAUCUGCGUAUUGUCAUUUUAUCACAAAGAACAAUUGUUCUCCCAUAGCAUCUCCUUUAGCAUUCAGUUUGUUAGUGAGGUGAUACUACCUGAUAUCACCACUGGCAAAUAUGACAAUGCCAAGCAAUUAUAAUCUAUAUUCUAAGUAUCAGUUGAGAACAAGCUGAGGUAAAAGCAUUGUAAACUUUAAAACUGCCCCAUGCAAACCAAGAAACAUUAGGAUAAAUCAAAGGGAAAAAGAAAUAAAUGAAAGAAAUUAGUAGAAAAUGUAAGAGUUGCAAAGUGAGAGACCAACUCACUGUGUGAACAAGUACUUUUACGUGAAUAUGAGAUCUAAAAAAAUGGAAAGUUAGGGCAUGUGAUUAUACAUUUAUUUAGUAUAUUUUAAUAUUAAUAUUUUUAAAAUGUAUAGAAUAUGUUUGCACUCUUUUUGAAAAUAUUUAAUGUAUCUGUUUGUUGCCUUCACUGGACACUAUUCAAUUGGCUGUCAUGUUAGAGAGAACCAUAGUACAGAAGACCACAGAAAAAUGUUAUGAUGGACAUUUUGAAAGCUAUUCUAGGAAGAACUGGUCAUUAACUAACUACAUUGGUGAGAGUAAAUAGCUACUGAAUGUUGAACAUUUCAUGGGUGCAAAGUAGCAUCCUCAUGGUUUGAAUCCUUCACCUCCUGUAUCUCAGAAGGACAUCUGUUUUUAAUUAUCAGUAUUUCUGCAUUUCAUUUAAUGCCAUUUUAAGAAAUGCAUAUAAAACAUUCAAAUAUAAAUGUUAAAUAAGGAGGAAAAAUAAUAGCUUAUGUGAAGCACUGCACUGUAAAUAUGAUAAACAGAUUGACAUGACUCAAGUAAUUCAUGUGAAUGGAUAAAAGUAUAAAUUGAACUUUUAUAGGUAAGCAGCUAUUUUCCAAACUGUUAAAACAUGAUGAACUCCAAUGUCAAGAGUUGUUGCAUCAAAGGCUUGCUUCUGGGCCUAAAAGUAUUCCCUCCUGUAAUGUAAGAAUUUCUAAUUCAUUUGGAUUGUGAUAUAUAUAUCCGGAUAAACAAGGAAACCAUUUGUCUAAAGUCAUUUGUUAAAAUUUUCCAACCACUCAACUCUUACUGAAAUUCAUUUUCCUUAUAAUGCUGCUUGUCAGUAACAAGUCCAAAAGGAUGAAUCAAUGCACUAAAAUAAUCAACACUGCUACACGUUUACAUUAGUCCUUAAAAACUGUGACUGAAGAUGUAAUUUGGAGAUUGAUGCAGGCCAUAAAUGAGUAAACUGUACUUGUAAGUGAUAUUUUGUAGCAAUAUGAUCUUUCAUGACUAUAAGAUCUAUGAUGGCUGAGACCCUGGUUUAAUGCAGAACCUUAAGCAAAAAGAAAGUACUCAGAAUAUAAAAUGUCUUGAUAAAUACAUGUUGAUUUAAUAAAUUAGUGGACUAUAUUUUUGAAAUAAGACUGGAUAAAGAUAGAAUAGUAGUAGUAGUAAAUAUAUACAAAGUACCAUAUUUGUUUUUGGUAAAGAAGUAGUAGUGCACAUGUUCAGGAGCAAAGACACAGAUGCAGAAUUUCUAAUUGAAAAUUCUAUUACAUACGAGGUAUACACACUUGUGUCUCUCUAUGACAUAUUUUCAUCAUCUUAAGUAUAGAAAGACUGAAUCCUUGUAACUCGCUUGGAGAAGUUCCUGUCACACAGUAAACAUUAUUUAUUUAUUGGUUACAGUUACUACCAGUUACUACCAUUGUUGGGGGAGUUAUGUGGAAAUUAGGCAUGUUGUUCAUGAUCAAGAAGUGUUUAUUCUAGUAGGAAAGACAGUUAUAAGUAAGAUUAACUCUAAUAUAAAUUAUGAUGUUUCAGAAAUUUGAAAGACUACAAGUGAAUAUUUAAUGAGUGAGAAUGAGGACUCAUCUCAUGAGUGAUGUAGCUCUUUAAGUGACUCCCAAAUAAUUUUCCAUGAUUGUGAAGUUUUUCAUGAAUAUUUUGGCAUAGAAAAUUGCAGUAACUGUAUUCUGGCAAAGAUAAA